This 913-nucleotide long non-coding RNA is filed under the name Populus trichocarpa (black cottonwood). Its description in RNAcentral is "long non-coding RNA (PTRI_LNC002725)". The record is from RNAcentral. Lineage: Eukaryota; Viridiplantae; Streptophyta; Magnoliopsida; Malpighiales; Salicaceae.
AGCUUAUUAGAAUGAAUCUUUUCACACCAAGUUUACGGCAAGCUUCAACAAGGUUCACAGUGCCUAAAUUAUCAACCUGCAACAACGUACUCUUCAUAAGAUUGACAAACAAUGACAUCGGAAAACUGCAACACUAAACUAUUAAAUAUUGACAGCACAUGCAGAGCUCCAAUUUCCAGAUUACAUGUUAACAUAAUUGAUGUUGCCUUUCAAUGCCACAUCCAGGAUAAUGACUAACAUUCAAAAAUCCGCACCCAGAUAUUUCUGCCUAAAAUCAGAUAAAGAUGCACUUAACAGAGAACUGAUCCAAGAACUUAGAUUGUAAAUAAGUUCAUGAUAGAAUUCUGUUUCAAGCAGGAAAAUUUGCAAUCCUUCAUCUUCUCAAAACAUCUGCAAUAUAGACAUAACCAUCCCAACAGAUGACCUAAUGACUUGAGGAUUAAAGUGAUUGAUAUUUGUACUUGGAACAAAUGCUUCACAUAAGCAAGCCCAUAUUUGCUUUUUUCCUAUAGGUGAUAAAAGAUGAAUCAAACAUGACACCUUUCUAUAUUUUUUAAUGAUAAAUAACAAUGGCAAACAACCUUCAUUUGAAUAAUUAAUCAAUAAUCAGCUGAAGCACAGAAAGCAUUAUUAGCUUUUGACAUGUUUUUUUAUUAAGGCCAGAACAGAAUAAUUAAAAAUCUAGAACCGACUGAUCACCUUCCAUGGAGCAAACAAGUUCCAGCCAGGCCGAAACCCAGUGGCACAUAUUACAGCCUCGGAAUCAUCCCCUAUGGCCUGUACUAGCUUGUCAGACCCCUUAGUUACAUCGGCUGUCACCUAGAAUAAGAAAGCAAAAAAAAAAUACACAAUGAACCCAGUUCAAAUUUGAGUGUGCGCAAACUGUCAAGUGUUUAAAGCAGGAGUACAGACA